GACAAGAUUGAACAACAGAAUGCAGCCUAACAGCAUCAGACCAAUGAAGGCAUGUCAUAUGAAAGCAUGGCUCAGUUACAAGAUGUAAGUAUGUCUCAUUAUCUAUACCAUGGUUUUAAUGGCUUACAUACUAUUUUAAAUUUGUAGGUUUUUACUUACAAACAACAAUAAAUGUACACCCACGUGUUUAAAAUUAUUUUCUAGGUUUUCAUCGAAAGAUGAGAGAUCAACUGAAGAAUGCUAUGGUCCUGACUCUAAGGUGCUCUUUCUAAACUUUCUCCACUUGAUUAAUAUUAUUAAAUUCUAGCUUUGUAUGGAUUCCUUCAUAUUUGUUUGUAUGCCACAUCUUAUGUUCCAGGAAUUGAUUUUACAGCAGCACUUCUCAUGUUGCCAGCCUUGUUAAGCGAGACACUUCAACAUUUCGUUGUGCUCCGGAUGACGCAGUGGGUAGUGCUGUCACCUUACAGCAAGAAGGUCGCUGGUUCGAGCCUCAGCUGGGUCAGUUGGCAUUUGUGUGAGGAGUUUGCAUAUUCUUACAGUGUUCGUGAGGGUUUCCUCCAAGUGCUCCGGUUUCCCCACAAUGAACCAUCUUCACCACAUCCAACAGUUCAAGUGCAGGAGGAGGCCACCAACUGGACAACUGUGUUAACAAGACGAGUCACGGCAGUCUUCAGAGUUGAUGGGAUUGUGAUUGGCCGGGCUAAUGAUGUGGACGAAAAUACAUUUUUGGCAUAUCCAUCUUAUUAGAAGAUCACCUUGAUGUUUCUGCAGUGGAAUGUUUUGAAUGAACGGUGGACGGUGACAAGCCUGGAUCUACUCCAGUUACCAAAGUGAUCAACCUUGUUUUUUGUUUCUCUACAUGCUCUUGGGAUAAUCACAAUAAUCAAGUUAAUCCAGCACACUGCUCUCAUUCAUGCAUAAAGCAAAAUUUUAAAUAACUUGUGGUCCUAAUGACAAAGAACAUUUUCCAGUUAUGAGUGCUUUACAUGUCAUGUUUAUCAAAAGCAUAAACACAUAUUGUGUUACAACAAAUUACAACUCCACUUGAGGAUGAUGAGGAGUAAUCUACUGAUGUUGAGGAAGAGGCUACUGAUGUUUUUGGUUUUCUGCACUGUUGAAGCAAUUUAUAGAGAAACUUUGCCUUCAUUCUGAAAUACAGAGAAAAUUUUGAUGACAAAUUAUUUAUUAUGACUGAGUAUUCUGACUCAAGACAAAUACUUUGGACUUUAUAAAGUGAAGUACUUGAUGUAGCCUGUGUAAUGUGUUUAUAAAUCUUAAACAGUAUUCUUGUGGUCUUUGUAUUAAGGGUAGAUUAUAUACUGUACAGUGAGUGAACAGUUUUUAUUCUUAUCUAAAUUGUUCUUUUUACUGUUUUACAUGUCUGCUUUAUACUUGCUGUGUAAUUUUAUUCCUUAACACAUUCAGUUGUGAGUUGUAAUGAAAUAUUUCUACAUUAG
Danio rerio (zebrafish) is the source of this 1457-nucleotide long non-coding RNA. The record is from Ensembl. Lineage: Eukaryota; Metazoa; Chordata; Actinopteri; Cypriniformes; Danionidae.